AUUUACAUAUAUUUCUUAAGGACAUGGCUGGUGACUAUUCGUAAUUUGUCCCAGAACCUGACAUGGGGUGGCUGGUGGUACUGUUUAUGGAGAUGGGGGAAUAUAAGAGAAGGAGCAGUUCUAAGGGAAAAGAUAAUGGGUUCAGUUUUCACAUUAACUUGAAGUACCUGUGGGACACAUAUCCAAGCAAAAAUUUUCAUUAUGCCUCUGAAGGAGAAAGAUUGAGAGUGAAGAUAAAUAUUUGAAAGUUACCAGUUUGUAGAUAGGUGAUAGCUGAAGCUGUUGUAGAUAAAAUCACCUAGGGACAGUAUAUAGAGUUAGAAGAAAAGUUGGCCAAAGACAGUACUGUGUCGUGCCAGCUUCCAAGGUUCAUAUGGAAGAAAAGGAAGUUUAAAGGAGACCCAGAAAGAAUGCUUAAAAAGUAGCAGGAAA
Molecule: non-coding RNA, 432 nt
Organism: Microcebus murinus (gray mouse lemur)
Lineage: Eukaryota; Metazoa; Chordata; Mammalia; Primates; Cheirogaleidae
Source: RefSeq, a predicted model, not a curated record